This 468-nucleotide ribosomal RNA is filed under the name uncultured bacterium. RNAcentral's name for it is "partial 16S ribosomal RNA". It matches the Rfam family "Bacterial small subunit ribosomal RNA", at positions 28 to 507 of the family's 1533-position model. The record is from RNAcentral.
GACGAACGCUGGCGGCGUGCUUAACACAUGCAAGUCGAACGGAAAGGCCCUGCUUUUGUGGUGUGCUCGAGUGGCGAACGGGUGAGUAACAUGUGAGUAACCUGCCCUUGACUUUGGGAUAACUUCAGGAAACUGGGGCUAAUACCGGAUAGGAGCUCCUGCUGCAUGGUGGGGGUUGGAAAGUUUCGGCGGUUGGGGAUGGACUCGCGGCUUAUCAGCUUGUUGGUGGGGUAGUGGCUUACCAAGGCUUUGACGGGUAGCCGGCCUGAGAGGGUGACCGGCCACAUUGGGACUGAGAUACGGCCCAGACUCCUACGGGAGGCAGCAGUGGGGAAUAUUGCACAAUGGGCGGAAGCCUGAUGCAGCAACGCCGCGUGCGGGAUGACGGCCUUCGGGUUGUAAACCGCUUUCGCCUGUGACGAAGCGUGAGUGACGGUAAUGGGUAAAGAAGCACCGGCUAACUACGUG